Molecule: RNA transcript, 4440 nt
Organism: Homarus americanus (American lobster)
Lineage: Eukaryota; Metazoa; Arthropoda; Malacostraca; Decapoda; Nephropidae
Gene: Dlic
Gene name: cytoplasmic dynein 1 light intermediate chain 2-like
Exons: 12
Source: RefSeq, a predicted model, not a curated record
CAUUAUUGGAACGUAGUUUUGGUCAUGACAACAUGGCGCUCAAUGGGGAAAGGUCAGCCCUCUCUGGGCUUUCCGACCUCCGAAAAGAAAAGGCAGAGGAAAAAGAGAACCUCUGGAAAAAGAUCUUGGGAGAAGUGCAGUCAAGUGAACGCAAUAAACUACCAUCAUGGAAAUCAGUCCUUGUGCUAGGUGAAAAUGAAUCCGGUAAAACUACACUGAUCGCUAAGCUACAAGGAAAUGAAGAUCCCAAAAAAGGCUCUGGUUUAGAGUACGCAUACAUAGAUGUCAGGGAUGAAUACAGAGAUGACCACACAAGGCUAAGUGUCUGGGUACUGGAUGGAGACCCUAAACAUGCAGAACUUUUAGAGUUUUCAGUGAAUGCAGACAACUUGGAACACACUUUAGUCUUGCUUUCUGUUUCCAUGACAACACCUUGGGCCAUCAUGGACCAGCUUCACACGUGGGCAUCGACACUCCAGGAUCAUAUAGACAAACUCAAUCUUGAUCCAGACAAGUUUAAAGAACAGCAAGAUAGAAUGUCGCGGUUAUGGCAAGAUUAUGUUGAGCCUGGAGAUGAACUAGAAGCUGGGUCACCCAUGAAGCGAUCAUCAAGAAACCUGGAGAACGAUGAUGAGCCUGUCUUGCCACUCCCAGAGAAUGUUUUAACCAGAAAUCUUGGACUUCAUGUCAUAGUUGUAGUUACUAAGACGGAUUAUAUGUCAACGUUAGAAAAGGAUUUUGACUAUAAAGAAGAACACUUCGACUUUAUUCAACAAUCAAUUCGAAAGUUCUGCCUUCAAUAUGGUGCGGCCCUUUUUUACACCUCGGUAAAAGAGGACAAGAACUGUGACCUGUUGUACAAGUAUCUAGUCCAUAGAAUCUACAACUUCCCCUUUAGAACUCCUGCACUUGUUGUCGAAAAAGAUGCUGUGUUUAUACCUGCUGGUUGGGACAACGACAAAAAAAUUUCCAUCCUUUAUGAAAAUAUGCACACAAUGAGUCCAGACGACUACUACACGGAUGUUGUAGUUAAACCUCCAGUGAUACGCAAGGCAGUUGCGAGGGAGAUAGAAGUUCAAGCAGAAGAUGAACAAGCCUUUUUGGCACGGCAUCUAUCCCAGCUUCAGGCAGGAGGCACUGGUGCCCCCAACACACCCCAGGGUCGUCAGGAAUCCCCACUAAGACAGUCACCAGCUGUGCAGAAGACCAGUGAGCGUCGGGUAUCAACAGGUGUUCCUCCAAAUCAAAUUGGCUCACCAAAGAAGAUGUGGAGGCCGCCUUCUCAGAUUGAGUCGACGAAGCCUGGAGUUACACAAGCCAGUGAAGGUGUUCUUGCAAACUUCUUCAAUUCUCUCCUUAGCAAGAAAACAGGAACAAAUGCUCCUUCCCCUGGGGCAAUAAAAACAAAUGCUGGGUGGGUUGGCCAUGCAUAACCUCCUCUAAAACACCUUGGUCUCUGGCACACUGAACCAUCCUAACACCCUCCCACGACUAGAAACUAAUAUAAAGCUGCUAUGCGGUCUGAUGCUGCUGCAGAGUUGGACCGGUUGACACGAUCAAAGAAACCAACAUCUAAUUCUACAGAAACAAACAACUCCUCAGAAUGUUGACUCUCAUCUAGUAUCAUUAUUGGCUGUGCUAAGGAAUGAUGUUUUGGUGCCCUAGCCUGACUGUAUGAGGUGCACUGUAGUGGCCAAAAAGCAGCGCAGCAUGAGGCAUCCAAGGCAUGAGGCAGUUGGAUGCCUGUCUGGUUGUUACCUACCAGAUUUGUCCUGGACUAGGAUGCGAGUCCUCAUAUUCGGGGUUUAAUAUGGGUAGCUUUUCAUUCCUGUAUGAUAAAAUACUUUUAUUCUUGCCUUUCAAAGGUACCAUCCUGAAAGUAUACAACUAAUUAGCAGCUAAAGUGUUGUAUAAAAACUUUUCAGAGACUUCUAAAGCAAUUUCUGCUUAGUAAUAACGUGACCUUUAAUGAAGCAGUGUGCCUCGGAGCUUGUCACAUCCACAGGAGUUUAGCGUCCGUUUAUCAGUAGUGGUCAAAUUGUGGUGUGUAUGUGAACCUAGCAUAGCAUCUGUGAGCCAGAUCCUUCUGGUACUGCAUCACCCAGGCUGUGCAGGGAGGGUUUAGGAACCACUUGCAAGAAAUGUGGUGACCCUUGAAGGGGGGUGGGGUAGGGGAAACUGGUGGGGUGUGCGUUGUGUCCUGUAUCAUAUUUUCUUAUUUAUUUGUUAAUUUUAUAAACACUUGCUUCCAUGCUGUUAUUCUUGGGCUAUGAUGCUUGUGACCCUUAUGUGUAUAUCUCAGAACCUGAUCACUCACAGGGUUACCAUCUUAAUGCUCUGUAAAUGCAACACCAGUGAAAAAGAUCCAUGUAUUGUAUAUUAAAUACAAGAAGAAUUAGUCACAUUAAAAUUUGCUACUCAGGAGUAUUUAUGAGAUUAUUUCUGACAGUGGCAGCCCAGAUGCUUUCAUUAUGGCAAUGCAUCUUUUUGCCUCGGUGAUUCUUUUCUUUAUUCAUUACUGUUUUAUGAUAUAUGAAUAUUAAUUUUUCAUUACUUUUUAUUUUUAUUACUUGUUAUGAGAUCAACAAAGGACAAGAGUUCAGUCUCAUAUAAAAAUUCUAUGUUUGGGUUCACUAUUUAAGAAGUUAGAGGCUUCAGGUGAGAGAUUCCUUAUCAUUAUUGUUCACUGAAUAGGAAUUGAAUGUAUACAAAGUAUACAGUACGUAGAUGAAAUUGAUUUAGGGUUUAAAGUCACUAAAUUUCAUAAUUCAGUAAUGUGCAUAUGAUUAACAUUAUUAAUUUGUUUUAUUAGGAAAUGUGACUGGUGUUUAAGCUGUAUUUAUCUGUGAUCAAUACUGAUAGGGAGCUUCUCAGAUGUUGCAUAAUUCUGCUCUUGUAGCAUUGAUUUCUGGCAGGUCAUUUAUCCGACUUAUAAGGCCAAGAAGACCCAAAGGCAAAAAGUAUAAGAACUGUUGUUUGGUGGUCAUGUAGCAUUAGGUAAACUGUAUUAUACAGCCCAGCUUUGAUUGUCAGCAUUGAAGAGCAGAUCUUGAUAUAUUUAUUGGCAGUGUUAUUAACUACCUAAUGAAACUAAUUAUUUUUAGCGUCAUGGGUGAUAUCCCAGUGCAACUGUGUAAGACCCAAAUAAUGUGAAGAAGCUUCUUGAAGCUGGAUAUGUAGGGAUGCUGUUACUUCAGGUUGCUGGUACAUCCCAGUUUUAGUCCAUCAGUUUAACCUAAAUGCCAAAGCUUAUUCAUGAUGAAGUUAUGUACUGUAUAUAUAUAUAUGUCCUUGCCUUUAAGUAUCAUUAUCUCCCCAUGUAAGUUUCUUCCUAAUAACUAUCAUUCUAUUAAGUCUAGCAAUUACUUUGAACUUGGGCUGUUGAGGCGAGUAAGUUCAUAUCAAGAUUGAGGGAGUAAGGAAUAGCAGCUUUAAUGAAUGGUGAAAACUUUUGACCUCGAACACAUUCACCAGUGAAAACAAAUCAGGAUAAAUGUUAGUGUUAUGUUAACUUUUUUAGAUUUAUAAUAUUUGUAUUAUUUGAUGUUUUUAAAUCAAUAUAGAUAAUGGAUAAUACUUGUUUAAAUAUUUAUAUUUUCAGUAUUUCAAUUCUUUUUUUUUAUUAUUUAUUGUAUUAUUUUUAUUUUUAUUUUUUCGGGAAGACUAGAGGCAGAAUGCUUACCAGGCAUGACUUAAUUUGAUGCAACAGACUAUUAAGUUAGCACAAUUCAGAACUGACUAGCAAGUGAAAUACACUCAUGAAACAGUAUCUACACAAUAAUGUAUAAAGGUUUAAUAUAAAUUGGUAAAGUCCACAUGCUUAUUAGUCCUUCAGAAGUCCAGCUUUAUUAACCAGGUGGCGCAGAAUCACUAUUAACUCGAGUAUGUUGGCAACAGUACUUCAUGAAACACCAUAUUUAUAAAAAUGAUCUUCAUGCCAUACUUGUUGAUGGGAAUUUAUGUUAUAACUGGGAUAUUUGUCGCAGUACAAUUGUGAUUAUUAAACAUUGGAGUAUGUUCAUUAUUAUUAUAUAGAAGUUCAAAAUUUUUAUGUACCGGUAUUUUGUGUCUAAUUUGUGGAAGUAUUAUAAAUUGAAAACUUAUGGAAAUAGUCUAUUUCAUCCCAAGUGAGAAACAUUUGGUAAGGAUCAAUAACCAUAUUUAACACGUGAUUGUAAGAGUAAAGUCGUUUUAUUUAGAAAUUAUAAGUUUUCUUAUAUAUUGAAUAUGCUUCCUUGUGCUAUUUUGUAAAGGCUUAUGAAGAUCAUUCAAAAGGCAUGAGGAGUUUCACAUUUUAAGUCAGUUUUGUUGCUAAAGUACUGCAGUGUUUUUUUUUCUUGUCAGUUAGCUGGUAAAAUUCUUUGUAUUAUAGGAUUAUUUUUCAUUUGCCAUAGUAGAAAAUUGUAAAAAUAUGGAAAUAUAAAAUUUGUGAUAACUUCA